This is a long non-coding RNA of Tripterygium wilfordii, 2833 nucleotides long. RefSeq lists it as uncharacterized. The record is from RefSeq and is a predicted model, not a curated record. The transcript is spliced from 5 exons. NCBI's taxonomy places the organism in Eukaryota, Viridiplantae, Streptophyta, Magnoliopsida, Celastrales, Celastraceae.
AGACCGAAAGCAAUGGCACAUGUUUGGCUGUGCAAAGACAAGGUCAAACAGUGAACCUCCUUUGUCAGGGCUGUAAUUCUUCUUUAACAGAUGCGAGAGCAAGUUGGUGGUGGCUAGGAGACAUGGGGUUGAUUGCCGAAAAACCCUAGGUCCUUUCAGCUUAAUCUCUACUAUAUGCUGAAUUUGUGUAAGCGUUGUCUGUUUUCUCUCUUUUAUCAGCUAAGGUGUCUUUUUUUGUCUUGUUAUUACUGAUUUAACACUCAAUUAGCAUAUCUAUGUUUCUUCCUGACUUGGGUGUGAUGAGUCCCAGACCCAGUCGAUCUUCCUUGUGAGUAUCAACUUUGCUUUUCCUGUUGGAGUAGUUUGGUAUUAAGACUAGUAUGGGUGUUGAUGAAGAAUUUGCGAAAGAAUAAUAAUAAGAGGACCUGAAAUGAUUGUGAUUUGAGUAGCUUCUGUAGAAACUGCAAAUAGGAAAUCAUUGGGUGUAGUGACUGCAGAACCUGGUAAUGCUUCCUGGAUAACAAAAUGGGUAAAAGAAAUCUUUCAGAGUAUUAUAGAGAUUCAAUUAAAUGUUACAGAUUUGUUUGGCUAUAGCUUAGAUUCUAAGACUGAUCAUAUUCCCUUUUCUAGAGUUUCUUGGCAUCGAUGCGGACUUGAUACGUGAAUCUGUGUGAAAGUGGAAAGUGAUUUUUGCUUCUUGUUCUGAAAUUAAUGAGCUUUUAUUGAUGUGUGCAAGGCUUUGUCUGAUUUUUUUGGAACAUGUUAACACGAGGUCCGGUGGUAGAGUGCAAACUAGAGGUCACAUAUUCAAUUCCUAAAAAGUCUCUACACAUAUUAUGUGGGGGUGCCUGAAGCGAAAGGAAAAAUCGCAGUAGCAUGUUUGGCUCAAGAGAAUUUCGGUUCUGUUUGAAUUUGAAACUUUUCUGGGGGUCGCCUGCUUUGUUUUAUCCUGGAUCUUUGAGCUAAUCAUUAGUUUGCGCGUUGUCGCGACCUAUUUUUUUAGUGUGUUAAGAGACUCCAAGAGAAUUGUCAGAAGAUCAUGGAAUGGAAUGAACUAAUGAAGUUUGAUAAGAGUAUCUAGAUGAGUUGAUAUCUUCCUUGGCGUUUAGCUUAUGGUGAUGCCCUUCAUUCUCAAUCUUUCUGCACAUACUAAUACAUUCUGUUCGAUCUUAUAAUAUGAGCGGGAUUUUUUAUUCUAUGAUUCAAAUAGAAAAGGCUGGUAAGGAAUGUUUUCAGUUCAAAUUUCUGGCAAGGUUUUCUUUUCCUUUACUGUUUGUUGGGUCAGUGAGGAAACCUUGGAUUCUGCAAUCCAAGAACUGUACUUUUUCAAGUCAUAUGGCAGGCACACAUUCUGCACCUAAAUCUUGCAAUCAAACAGUGUCUUCAUAUGAACUUGCUUCGUUGGUGUACGCAGCAGAAGCUGCCGGAGCUGGAGGAGGAUUGAUGCCCACUUUGAUUACCUUCCAGCUUCAGUCAUCUUUAGUUGCUUACAGUCUGCCUCUACAUUAGACAUUGCUCUCCUCAACCUCUCCCCUCAACAUUGCGUCAGCCGUCAAGACAACGAUUACUUCUCUGGUUGUGCACUUUCAUUCUCAAUUGUAGAAAAGAUUUUAGUUUUUGUGAUAUAUACUCCAUGUUUUUCUAUGUCAUCAGAAUUAAUACAGUGGGUUUGUCUUGUAUAUAAGAUUGCAGAAGAAUAAAAGAAAGCAAAAAAAACAGAAAAAAAUUGUAUUGGGGUACUUAAAAUUUUUGUUUCUCUUGUUUCACAUGGAGAUUUACAAGACUUGCCGGUGGAAGCAGUGCGACCUCAUCUCUUGCAGAAAGUGAAUACUUGUUAUGAAGUUCCUUCAGCUUUCUUUCUUUUGCAGGCUUUUCGUUCGCCAUCUCUCUUUGCAGCUGCAAAAUGAGUUCCGCACAGUCCCUACUCAAAGAUGCACAACAGUUAAUACCAAGCGAGCGCUAAGCAAAUGCAGGACAAAAAGAGAGGAGGAUGAGGAAUGUACUUGAGUUGUCUUUUCUUAUAGCCAGAGUGAACCUCCAGUGCUUUGCUCCAUUGACAUUGGGGUUUUAGCAUUCGUCGAGCAACAUAGACUGCAGACGCAGCAAGCAUCGAUGGAGAGUACUUAAUGGUGGCGUAAUGCGCCAUAGAAAGUUCACUUAAAUAGAAGAUCAAGCUCCUCAUCUGCAACAAGAAAAAACCAGAACAAGCUCUUAGACAUCGAACGAUGAAAACAUAAGGCGUUGGAACCGUUAACUUCCAGUUCAGUUUGAGCAAUAUCUUCUCUUCCAUGGCAUUUAUUUGUUCUUGACUGAAAGUAUUCUCCAUUGAGCUGUUCUCUAUACCAGGAGCCUCUCGAAAAGUCUCGGCCUGAAAAUUCCAACACAUAUAAACGCACGCUUAGCGAAUAAUAAUGAACUCAAGUAUGUAUAUAAUACUGAAUCUGUUGAAAGAUUUCAAUGGUGAGUACAUUGGGAUACUCUUCUUCAUCAUAUUUGCAGGAGACAACCAUUGCAGCCAUUCCUACUAACUUAAUCUCAUUCAUCUUCACAGUUUCUUUCGCGAGGAACCGAUCAAGAAUGUUGAUGGUAAGAUAGAAUGUUUCUUGUGCUAGUUGUGACAUAUGGGUGUGAAUUUUAUUCAACCAGUCCACAAGUAUUGCUCUGCUUUCUUCAUUGAUUUCUGGUUGCCUGCUCAUGUAGUCAUCAACCACACUACUUCCCUGGGAAAAUCACACAGUUUUCUCAAGAAACAAGCAGCAAAAACACAAACCCAUGUCAUGUAUAAGCAUUAUUCACACAAAUUAAAGCAAACCCAGAAUUUAUAUGUACCUCA